UCCGGGGUGAAUCGGAUUCCGGCGAGUCUCAUAAGCUCGCUGACGCAGGUUCGACUCCUGCCCCCGGGA
RNAcentral lists this transfer RNA (69 nucleotides) under Verrucomicrobiota bacterium. Its description in RNAcentral is "Verrucomicrobia bacterium (bioreactor metagenome) tRNA-OTHER". It matches the Rfam family "tRNA". From Rfam's summary of the family: Transfer RNA (tRNA) molecules are approximately 80 nucleotides in length. Lineage: Bacteria; Pseudomonadati; Verrucomicrobiota. The record is from RNAcentral.